UACGAAGGGGGCUAGCGUUGUUCAGAAUUACUGGGCGUAAAGGGCGCGUAGGCGGUCCCUCAAGUCAGAUGUGAAAGCCCUGGGCUUAACCUAGGAGGUGCAUUUGAUACUGAAGGACUUGAGAUCGAGAGAGGAGAAUGGAAUUGCGAGUGUAGAGGUGAAAUUCGUAGAUAUCCGCAAGAACACCGGUGGCGAAGGCGAUUCUCUGGUUCGAUACUGACGCUAAGGCGCGAAAGCGUGGGGAGCAAACAGG
This 253-nucleotide ribosomal RNA is filed under the name uncultured bacterium. Its description in RNAcentral is "partial 16S ribosomal RNA". It matches the Rfam family "Bacterial small subunit ribosomal RNA", at positions 524 to 776 of the family's 1533-position model. The record is from RNAcentral.